This is a long non-coding RNA of Brienomyrus brachyistius, 312 nucleotides long. RefSeq lists it as uncharacterized. NCBI's taxonomy places the organism in Eukaryota, Metazoa, Chordata, Actinopteri, Osteoglossiformes, Mormyridae. The record is from RefSeq and is a predicted model, not a curated record. The transcript is spliced from 3 exons.
UAUAAUAAUAUCAGCAUAUUGAAUUUCUUGUCUCCACAUAUUUUACAGAACGGCAACAAUGUGGGUUCAUGGCAAUGGCAGCUGUUCAUGAAAGGCAACACAUUAUGAGAAAACGCCAACAGGAGACCAGAGAAACCCACGCAGCCACGGGAAGAAAAUUCAAACCCCAUACAGAUAGCUCUAUCCAGAUGCGAUCCCACAACCCUGGAGCUCAGUUACGCUGCCCACUGAGCCUCUGUGAUACCUACCUGAAUAAUAUAAUUGGAAUUUUGUUUUUUUCUUCCCAGUAUAAAAACUGGAAAAAACUGAAGA